AUAUUUUAUGCUCAUAAUUAAUUCAGAAAGCAAAUGUGAUAUCACAAGAGAAAGACAUAAUUUUAAAUUAUAAUUAGUGAGCCACUCUUCUGUAAUAAAUAAUAAUAAAUCACCUUAAUGCCUUUGAUGAUUUGGUCAGCCAUGACAUACAUGCAUGCGGCCCAGUUUCUCUCAUGGCUUGGGCUUGGCUAGCUUCGGCUAGAGAACCAAGCCACACACGUGUCUUCACGCCAGUAACCUCCCCAAUUAUUUGCUCCCCACACGCUCAUGCAAUCAUGAUUCGACACGCUUCACUGUGGAGCAUAAUUUUUUUGUUCCUUCAUGGCUAAGCUUAAUCAAGCCCAAUAAUUCUGCGGGCCCCAUCAGCUCAUGUCACUUUAGUUUGCCUUUUGAAAAAGAAUCAUGGUGCCCACUGACUAGAAA
RNAcentral lists this long non-coding RNA (423 nucleotides) under Populus tremula. Its description in RNAcentral is "long non-coding RNA (PTRE_LNC000886)". Lineage: Eukaryota; Viridiplantae; Streptophyta; Magnoliopsida; Malpighiales; Salicaceae. The record is from RNAcentral.